RNAcentral lists this transfer RNA (72 nucleotides) under Exocentrus adspersus. RNAcentral's name for it is "tRNA-OTHER". It matches the Rfam family "tRNA". From Rfam's summary of the family: Transfer RNA (tRNA) molecules are approximately 80 nucleotides in length. Their secondary structure includes four short double-helical elements and three loops (D, anti-codon, and T loops). Further hydrogen bonds mediate the characteristic L-shaped molecular structure. tRNAs have two regions of fundamental functional importance: the anti-codon, which is responsible for specific mRNA codon recognition, and the 3' end, to which the tRNAs corresponding amino acid is attached (by aminoacyl-tRNA synthetases). tRNAs cope with the degeneracy of the genetic code in two manners: having more than one tRNA (with a specific anti-codon) for a particular amino acid; and 'wobble' base-pairing, i.e. permitting non-standard base-pairing at the 3rd anti-codon position. Lineage: Eukaryota; Metazoa; Arthropoda; Insecta; Coleoptera; Cerambycidae. The record is from RNAcentral.
GCUCUUGUAGCGCAGUGGUUAGCGCGUUCGGCUGUUAACCGAAAGGUGCUGGGUUCGAUCCCAGUUAGAGCG